GGAGUUAGCCGGGGCUUAUUCUCCCGGUACAGUCAUUAUCUUCCCGGGUAAAAGAGCUUUACAACCCUAAGGCCUUCAUCACUCACGCGGCAUUGCUGGAUCAGGCUUUCGCCCAUUGUCCAAUAUUCCCCACUGCUGCCUCCCGUAGGAGUCUGGACCGUGUCUCAGUUCCAGUGUGGCCGAUCAGCCUCUCAGCUCGGCUACCCAUCGUUGGCUAGGUGGGCCGUUACCCCGCCUACUACCUAAUGGGACGCGAACCCCUCCUUUAGCGGAUUUCUCCUUUGACCUCUGUGUCAUGCGGCACUGUGGUCUUAUGCGGUAUUAGCAACGAUUUCUCGUUGUUAUCCCCCUCUUUAGGUCAGAUUGUUCACGCGUUACUCACCCGUCCGCCACUUAGAUAUCCAACCGAAAUCAAAUAUCUCCGUUCGACUUGCAUGUGUUAGGCACGCCGCCAGCGUUCGUCCUAAGCCAGAAUCGAACCCUGA
Molecule: ribosomal RNA, 485 nt
Filed under: uncultured bacterium
Lineage: Bacteria
Description: partial 16S ribosomal RNA
Source: RNAcentral